CAGUUUAUUCAGUAGACAUUCAGAAUCUAUAAUUUCAAUAUCAUACCUUAGAGUAUAAACAGUUCAAUAAAUAGUAUCACAAUUUAGACAGUAAAUAGUCCACUAGAUACUAAUUUAGUAUUUCAGUAUCAUAAACAUUACAUACGACUUCCUAUUCAUUCCUAUUAACUUAGAUCCUAUAAAAUAAUUUCACAGCAUGAUGCCAUUUCUGUCAGUAUCAACGAAAGCAGUAAGGAUCCCUUUUACCACGUGAAUACAUUACAGUUCAGUUCACAGUUUACAGUUUACAGUUUGCAGUACACAUCAUUCAAUUCAUAGUCUUUAUCGCUUCAUCAUAUCUGGCUAAAGCCGUAUCCAUGGGUAGGGUUCACCAUAGUCACA
This 381-nucleotide long non-coding RNA is filed under the name Carica papaya (papaya). RNAcentral's name for it is "long non-coding RNA (CPAP_LNC002795)". Lineage: Eukaryota; Viridiplantae; Streptophyta; Magnoliopsida; Brassicales; Caricaceae. The record is from RNAcentral.